UAGGCGUAAAUGAUGCGAGUUAAGUGUGGGGGCAUCUACGAGAUGGCCCUGUGCUGUAGGGUAGCCGUUAAACUCGCUGCCUGGGAGUACGGUCGCAAGGCUGAAACUUAAAGGAAUUGGCGGGGGAGCACCACAAGAGGUGGAGGCUGCGGUUCAAUUGGAUUCAACGCCGGACAUCUCACCGGAUAAGACAGCUGAAUGAUUGUCAAUCUGAAGGUUUUACAUGACUAGCUGAGAGGUGGUGCAUGGCGUCAGUGACU
Molecule: ribosomal RNA, 260 nt
Filed under: uncultured archaeon
Lineage: Archaea
Description: partial 16S ribosomal RNA
Rfam family: Archaeal small subunit ribosomal RNA
Source: RNAcentral